Molecule: long non-coding RNA, 1243 nt
Organism: Clupea harengus (Atlantic herring)
Lineage: Eukaryota; Metazoa; Chordata; Actinopteri; Clupeiformes; Clupeidae
Source: Ensembl
GAGCUGUUGUGGGUGCUGUUGUGGUGGUUGCAGCAGCUGUUGUGGUAGUUUCUGGAGCUGUUGUGGUGGUUGCUGAAGCUGUUGUGGUGGUUGCAGCAGCUGUUGUGGUAGUUGGAGCAGCUGUUGUGGUAGUUGCAGCAGCUGUUGUGGUAGUUUCUGAAGCUGUUGUGGGUGCUGUUGUGGUAGUGGUGGCAGCUGUUGUGGUAGUUGCUGGAGCUGUUGUGGUAGUUGUAGUUGCUGUUGUGGGGGCCAUUGUGGGUGUUGUUGUGGUAGUGGUGGUAGCUGUUGUGGUAAGUGCUGCAGCUGUUAUGGGGGCUGUUGUGGUGGUUGCAUUAGCUGUGGUUGUUGUAGUCGCUGUAGUUGCUGUUGUGGGUGCUGUUAUGGGAGCUGUGGUACUUGCAGCAGCUGUUGUGGUAGUUUCUGGAGCUGUUGUGGGUGCUGUUGUGGUAGUGGUGGGAGCUGCUGUGGCAGCUGUUGUGGUAGUUUCUGGAGCUGUUGUGGUAGUUGCAGCAGCUGUUGUGGUGGUUGCAGCAGCUGCUGUGGUAGUUGCAGCAGCUGUUGUGGUUGCUGGAGCUGUUGUGGUGGUUGCAGCAGCUGUUGUGGUAGUUGGAGCAGCUGUUGUGGUAGUUGCAUCAGCUGUUGUGGUAGUUUCUGGAGCUGUUGUGGUGGUUGCAGCAGCUGUUGUGGUAGUUUCUGGAGCUGUUGUGGUUGUUGCUGGAGCUGUUGUGGUGGUUGCAGCAGCUGUUGUGGUAGUUGGAGCAGCUGUUGUGGUAGUUGCAGCAGCUGUUGUGGUAGUUAUUGUUGCUGUCGUGGGAGCCAUUGUGGGUGCUGUUGUGGUAGUGGUGGUUGCUGUUGUGGUAAUUAAUGCAGCUGUUAUGGGGGCUGUUGUGGUGGUUGCAGCAGCUGUGGUUGUUGUAGUCGCUGUAGUUGCUGUUGUGGGUGCUGUGGUGGUAGUUGUAGUUGCUGUUAUGGGGGCCGUUGUAGUAGUUGUAGUUGCUGUUGUGGGGGCUGUUGUGGUAGUUGUAGUUGCUGUUAUGGGGGCCGUUGUAGUAGUUGUAGUUGCUGUUGUGGGUUCCACUGAAGUUGUUGUUGUGAUCUCUGAGGAAUCAAGGGGGUCAUUUCAGUAAAUCUGUGCUGACAAUGCCCUCCUUUAAACAAACACAUGGUUGAAUACAGGUAUGGAAAUAAUUGCUUGCUUACCUUCAAAUAUUCCUGAACCUUCCUCUAUGAUUUCCCGUCGGGC